Molecule: ribosomal RNA, 490 nt
Filed under: uncultured bacterium
Lineage: Bacteria
Description: partial 16S ribosomal RNA
Rfam family: Bacterial small subunit ribosomal RNA
Source: RNAcentral
AGUGAACGCUGGCGGUAGGCCUAACACAUGCAAGUCGAACGGCAGCACAGUAAGAGCUUGCUCUUACGGGUGGCGAGUGGCGGACGGGUGAGGAAUACAUCGGAAUCUACUUUUUCGUGGGGGAUAACGUAGGGAAACUUACGCUAAUACCGCAUACGACCUACGGGUGAAAGCAGGGGAUCUUCGGACCUUGCGCGAUUGAAUGAGCCGAUGUCGGAUUAGCUAGUUGGCGGGGUAAAGGCCCACCAAGGCGACGAUCCGUAGCUGGUCUGAGGAUGAUCAGCCACACUGGAACUGAGACACGGUCCAGACUCCUACGGGAGGCAGCAGUGGGGAAUAUUGGACAAUGGGCGCAAGCCUGAUCCAGCCAUACCGCGUGGGUGAAGAAGGCCUUCGGGUUGUAAAGCCCUUUUGUUGGGAAAGAAAAGCAGCAGGUUAAUACCCCGCUGUUCUGACGUUACCCAAAGAAUAAGCACCGGCUAACUUCGUG